AAUAGAUACCCCGGUAGUCCACGCCGUAAACGAUGAGUGCUAAGUGUUAGAGGGUUUCCGCCCUUUAGUGCUGCAGCUAACGCAUUAAGCACUCCGCCUGGGGAGUACGGCCGCAAGGCUGAAACUCAAAGGAAUUGACGGGGGCCCGCACAAGCGGUGGAGCAUGUGGUUUAAUUCGAAGCAGCGCGAAGAACCUUACCAGGUCUUGACAUCCUCUGCCAACCCUAGAGAUAGGGCGUUCCCCUUCGGGGGACAGAGUGACAGGUGGUGCAUGGUUGUCGUCAGCUCGUGUCGUGAGAUGUUGGGUUAAGUCCCGCAACGAGCGCAACCCUUGAUCUUAGUUGCCAGCAUUCAGUUGGGCACUCUAAGGUGACUGCCGGUGACAAACCGGAGGAAGGUGGGGAUGACGUCAAAUCAUCAUGCCCCUUAUGACCUGGGCUACACACGUGCUACAAUGGAUGGUACAAAGAGCUGCGAACCCGCGAGGGUAAGCCAAUCUCAUAAAGCCAUUCUCAGUUCGGAUUGUAGG
Molecule: ribosomal RNA, 529 nt
Filed under: uncultured bacterium
Lineage: Bacteria
Description: bacterial SSU rRNA
Rfam family: Bacterial small subunit ribosomal RNA
Source: RNAcentral